Molecule: transfer RNA, 75 nt
Filed under: Candidatus Saccharimonadota bacterium
Lineage: Bacteria; Candidatus Saccharimonadota
Description: tRNA-Asn
Rfam family: tRNA
About the family: Transfer RNA (tRNA) molecules are approximately 80 nucleotides in length.
Source: RNAcentral
UCCGGAGUAGCUCAAUGGUGGAGCAGCGCCCUGUUAAGGCGAUGGUUGCCGGUUCGAGUCCGGCCUCCGGAGCCA